CAGAGUCACGCUGGGAUGUUGUGACAGAAUCACACGAGUACAUGGGAUUCAUCCCAUUCUGAAAAUGCCUGAGCAGCAAAGAGCAGAGGUAAAUGGAAUCAAAUGUCAGAGUCAGCGCAGCCUGAGAGAGACUUGAAACUCAGACUCCACCAUCUAUGGGGAAAGUUUCCUGCUGUGGCAUGGAAUAAACACGACAGAAAGAAAAUGACAGCGAGACUUCUAAGAACAACCCUUGCUUUGCUCUCCCUUGGCUUCUUUGGGGUCCUGAAGGCAUCAACAAUAUCAUGCAGAAAUGAAGAAGGUGAAGCCGUGGAUUGGUAGGUAAAAGAAAUGAAAGGAUGGGUGUA
This 347-nucleotide long non-coding RNA is filed under the name Marmota monax (woodchuck). Lineage: Eukaryota; Metazoa; Chordata; Mammalia; Rodentia; Sciuridae. The record is from RNAcentral.